Molecule: non-coding RNA, 850 nt
Organism: Cinara cedri
Lineage: Eukaryota; Metazoa; Arthropoda; Insecta; Hemiptera; Aphididae
Source: the annotation of a GenBank genome assembly
CGCUAAAGAGCCAUUUUCACCAUAUUGUGUAUAACACACACUUAUAGAAAGUGUUAUGAUAGUGUUAUAAAUAGAUAGAAUAAUACUUAGUUAGAUAUAUUUUUUAUAUAAUAAUUUAAUUAUAAUUUAAUUAUAUAUUAAAUAACUUAGAUAUUAAUGAAUAACUAAUAAAAUAUAUAUUUUGCUUAUAAAUUAUAAAUUAUAAAUAUAUAACUAUGAAUUAACAUAAAUAGUGCUACUACUAAAUUUAGUAAAUUACAAUAAUAUAAUAAUUUUUUAAUCCUUGAUUUUUUUUUAAAUUACAAAGUAGUUAUAUAGUAUUAUAUUCUAAUUUUUUAAAAGUUUAGUAUUCUUAUUAAGAAAUUUUAAAUAAUUUAUAUCUAACAAUUAAUUAAUUAUGUUAUAAUAAAUAUUAUGUUAUACUAAAUAAUUUAAUAUAUUGAAUAUUACUUAAAAAAUUUAAUAACUUCUUAUUAAGAAAAUAUUUUUUAUAAAUAUAUUUAAUAAAUAAUGUAUUAAUUUACAAAUAAACAUAUUAGAAAUUUUAAUAUCUUGAGUUAAUAAUUAUUAUAUAUAAUAUUAAAUUAAUAUACCUAUAUUAAUUUAAAUACCUAAAAAUUAUAGAAGAAUUUUAAGUAAUAACUACUAUAUAAUAGUAUUAGAUAUUUAUAUAAUAGAGUAUAUGUUAUUUUACCAAAAUAACAUACUAUAAUAACUAUUAAUAUUUUUUCAAAAAAGAUAUAUUAUAAUACCAUUACAAUAUUUUUUCUUCAACUAAUUUAAAAAUAAAUAAUAAAUAAAUAUACACUACUUGAAAUAUUAGUAUUAAAUAUUAAUAUAGUAAAAUCAU